This 458-nucleotide ribosomal RNA is filed under the name Flavobacteriales bacterium. RNAcentral describes it as "bacterial SSU rRNA". It matches the Rfam family "Bacterial small subunit ribosomal RNA", at positions 1 to 454 of the family's 1533-position model. The record is from RNAcentral. Lineage: Bacteria; Pseudomonadati; Bacteroidota; Flavobacteriia; Flavobacteriales.
ACAAUGGAGAGUUUGAUCCUGGCUCAGGAUGAACGCUAGCGGCAGGCUUAACACAUGCAAGUCGAGGGGCAGCGCGAUGUAGCAAUACAUUGGCGGCGACCGGCGCACGGGUGCGUAACACGUAUGGAACUUGCCCUUUACUGGGAGAUAGCCCUCCGAAAGGAGGAUUAAUAUCCCAUAAUAAACGAGGUGGCAUCACUUUGUUUUGAAAGCUCCGGCGGUAAAGGAUGGCCAUGCGCACGAUUAGCUAGUUGGUGAGGUAAUGGCUCACCAAGGCUACGAUCGUUAGGGGGCCUGAGAGGGUUAUCCCCCACACUGGUACUGAGACACGGACCAGACUCCUACGGGAGGCAGCAGUGAGGAAUAUUGCGCAAUGGAGGCAACUCUGACGCAGCCAUGCCGCGUGCAGGAAGAAGGCGCUACGCGUUGUAAACUGCUUUUAACCGGGAAGAAACCCC